CCCCGUGAGGUGGAGGAGGCCGUGUAUGCGGCAUCAUCUUUAGGGAGCUUGCAGUCCCAGAUCUAAAAUAAAUAAGAUGCACUUCAAGGCAAAAUCAAUUGCUCUGCGCAUGGAUUCUGGGCAUGGAUUCUGGGAACUGGGGUCUCCUGGGGUCGCGUUGCCACCUGCUGCUUACAAAGAUAGAGGCAGACCACGUUUCCAUCCGUCACAGCUGGAGCGUGUACCACACAAAAGGCGCAGGUGGGCGACGGGACCAUCUCAAACUGGACCACUUCCCAGCGAGGAAUGUCGGCCGUGGUUCUCACGGGCAGACAAGCAUGCGCAGCCAAAGCGGAUGGAAAAGCUACGGAAUCUCUCUCAGCACUGAUGACACCUGCCUUUUGCCUCGAUGUGGGGACGAACGAGCCAGUUAAGGUGGCCAGCGGGGGCUGGGGACCUACGGCAGAAUGUCCGUCCUGAACACGGGAGGCAUCGCACCGGUUGAAGGGAGCCCACGAAACAACGCUGAAAGCUGAAGACUAUGGCAAAUGCGAAGCUUCGGGAGCCCACGAGAAGGAGCAAAGGAGAAAUCUCAUCGAAAGUCCUCCCUGUGCCAACUUUCCAGACACGUCAGCUCAGGAAAUCCCUGUGGACAAAGGCUGUGCCCCAGCUGCCAGCCGCUCAGCCUCCGCCCACCCUUUCUCUGCCGCUGACACCUUCCCAAGGAGCGGCUCAAAGAGGCAGGUGGAGGGGAGAGGACUGGCUCUGGCCGCGGGCUCACCCGCGGUACCCGGACCCUUCGGAGAUGUUGGUGGCGCUCGUGUUCGUCUGCCCUGCUGCAUACCCACGUAGCCUCGGCUUGUUACCCUCUUUUGUGAGAGACAGGCCACAGGUCAGUCCUUUUCCCCGUGGUAUCAGACAACGGGGGCCUGUGACUUUCGGGUGGUUCUAGGAAAUGAGAGCGCCCUCUCCCGGGCAGCACAGAUCGGGAACCGGGUACCCACCUGGCCGGGGGCCACUGUGACGUGGAGUGUUGGCUAUGGCACAUCAAGGAACGGGAUCCCCUCCACUGCUCACCUGUAAUCGCAGGUGGAUGAGAGAGAGGCAGACGCAGACGGAGGCAGGCGGGGUGCACGGCAAGCAGCCAGGGUCUCCCCUCCCUACGCGCCCCAGAGCCCACUGGAGGCCGCUGGACGGCAGUAUGAUGUUGCUGGUUUGCCUCCAUUAAGGGCACGCAUCUCAAAACGAGCUGCAAGGUCACAAGUGAAGCUGCUUCAGUUUGAUUGUUAGUGUCUGUCUUGGGAGGAAUUCCCAGCUGGGAAUAAAAGGAGGAAACUUGAAAACUUGCCGACGGCGCAUUCAAAAUGCAAACAGUGAAUUAUGCACUUGGAACUAAUCAGCCGCCAUAAACGUGGUCCUGGAGCCGCGAGAAAUGACACAGAAUGUGCCACAACGCAUAAGAAGUCUCUUUUGAGUCAAGAGCUGACAGUUCCCAUAAAAUCCAACACUUUUUAAAAACAUGCCAAAUGUCAAUCAUAACCAAGAGUCUGACGCGUCCUCAGCAGAAAAUCUUUUCUUUUCUGUGGAGAAGAAAUCACAGGGAACAGAACUCACCAAGAACCCCAAUUACCCCAAACAUACGAACUGAUAAAAAGCGGUAGUUCCAGCCCAAAUCUCACUCACGGUUCCAGCUCAGAUGUCACGUUGUCUUCAGAAAUCCUCCCUGAACACUCUCAGAGGCUCAAAUCCCACGUGUGUGCGAAACAAAGCCACCCCACCCCCGCACCCCAAAACCCAGGGCUCCCCGCACCCCCCUCGUGCCCGCCCGGGCACCCCGAGCAAUUACCACCCUCCCCGGGCACCUCCUGGCAAGGCUGCUCACCUCCGGCUGCCCUCCCCAUCGUGACCUGGCACCCACCCUCCUGCACCUUUUGCCAGCCCUGUGACCCCUCAGGCCAGGCCCCUCCCUCCACCAUCAACAGGGCGGGGCUCCUGCCAGCACCCCCCCCCCACCAUGCUUUCGCUAACACCGAACUCUUGCUGACGAAAAAAGAUCGUAGGUAAUUCCUGCAAAAGCUAUUAGUGCAAUCGUGUUGAUUUAAAAAUUAUUAUUCUAAUUGUAUUAGGAAUUGGAAGGUUUUUGAAAAUACUUUAAAGUGCCCAAGGAGAGGGACCCCACCCUGGGCCCUGGACACGUUCACUCAGUGAGCAGUAAACGAGCUCUGACGUUUCUGGAUCCAAAUUGGUCUCUGCUGGUUUUUUUAUGCCCACGAUGAUGCCCGUCCUUGGUUCGCGCACCCGGCUGGAGAUUGGCCUUGCACUUUCAGGAAGACUUCGGUGGUGGCUGAAAGUCCUCCUCUUGGCCUCCGCAGGGGCAGCAACUGGCCUUGGGUGAGGAAGCCGCUCUGGCUCAGCUUGGUGUUGGCACAGCCACGUGGCGUCUGCGCUGAGGGGGAGCCGGGCGCCACCCAGCAGGACAGAGCGAGCGAGGUGCCACAUCGGAUUCAAAGGGAAACGUGUGUUGAGGGCACCAGAAGGACUCUGCCCAUGGAGGACAGGUUGCCCCCACCCCCAGUGACAUGGCAUUUCCCAGGGACUGGGUGAGGACGGGCCCCAGAGAGUCACAGUCGCUGCCCACCUAGCAGGGCAACGCUCGCUCCCUCCCUCCCUGAGUGUGACCAGCGCCCGCUGCUCUGGCACCUGGAAGCCUAAGGCCCAAUGCAGGGACCACGCCCAUGCCAAGCCUGCCAGUUAGGACAAGGAAAGGUGCGUGGGCAGGGGCACGGCCAGGCUUCUCGCCGAAGGAAAGGGGCACCUCGGUCCCUCUGUUCCCCAUGUGACGCUCUGAGCUGUGGCCCGAGGCCAUGGUCAUACUGGGAAGAGGCACCCGUUUGCGGUCAGCGCCGAGGCUCCCUCGUCCCCACAGCCCCGCCCCAGCUGUGCCCGUGCCAGUUUCCCGGACAUCGGGUGGCCUUCCCUACCUCCCCAAGCACCUGCGGGCACACAGUAGGUGCUCAGUAGACACAGCCUGGCUGAAAGGAAGGCGCUCCCUCCCCAGGAGAUCUCACUUUGAAUUGCAGGUAGAAUUCAGGUGUCUGGAGCUGGCCCUCCGCUGCCUGGAGAGCGUGGCCAGGAAAGGGCGGGCCCCACUGCAGACGGUGGCAUCCCUGAUGCCGCUCAGCGUGGGUCAGAAAGUCGGCAGCAAGGCCUGAGCCACCACAGGACAGAAGGCCUUCAACGUCCAUUUGGGUAGGGUCUAACCCAGGUCCCCACAGUGCGGCUGCUCUGUCACCAGACUUUCAUUUAAGGGAUGACCACAGGUUUGAACCCCCCUGCGAGGUCGUCUCACACGUCCUAUCUUAAUAGUUUAAACUUUAAAAUCAUCAUUAAUCAAAUGACUCAUUUUGUGCUAGAAUUGAUCAAGCAGUUUCUAAUGAUGACAACUCAAUUGCAUGUUCGUUUAGAAGCAAGUUCCAUAAAACAGGGCUCAUCUAAAUACAUCUUUUAGAAGCUCAAGCACAGGAAAAUAGAAUUUGUCGUCCAGGGACGCUCUUUUCUUAAGCAGAGUGGAAGCGGAAGCAUUAUCAUCCUUAUUUUCACGUCAAAUGUCUCCCAGUGUCUCAUCAGUCUUUUGUAUCUUGUGAUUCAAAAGCACAGAGGAAAGGAAGGUGGGGAAAUGGAGCCGUGGGGACAGAACUACGUUGGGGAACUUGGAGCCUGUUCCAAGAUGAAGCUUCAAGGAGCGGCUCCUUGAUGGAUGGCUGGUGGCUGGCAUGUGGCACCUCUGCUCCCACAAACACCCACUGAUGUGCCGCUGGCCUGGCAAGAAGCCCUGGGUUGUUUUUUGUUUUGAAACCAAUAGAACCGCAUCCUGUCAAACAGAAACAGUAGAAGAGUGUUCUGGAAAGUGGAGCUGCAACUGUGGAACAGCUCUUCCAGCAGCACCACUGCCUCUCCUGGUGCACCUUCCUGUACCACAGAGCUAGAAACAAAGCGCUGUGUCCCCAGAAUGAGGGCCUGCAGGCACCCCCGGCUCAGCCAGGCCACAUGUCAUGCUGCAGUGGUGGCCCUGAGCUGGAGAGCCAGAGGCAGCUCCUCUGGGUCCUGUGGCUCUUGGAGGACAAAUGUGGGGAGGGCCCUGGUCCUUGGCCUGGGUCGUGAGGAGGCCAUGGGGCUUCCACCGGACUGGAGCCCUGAAGAUCAGACACCCCUCCUGGCCACCUUGCCCUUCAUGUGAGCCGUUCCUGCCUGGUCCUCUGACCCUCCAAUAAAUUCUCUGAGCCACCAGCACCCUGAACAACCAAGACACAAGCAAUCCUUUUACUCUAGAAUCAGCUGGGUGGCCUCUGUCUGCAGCUAAGAGCCCCAGCUCAAUAUACAAACCUGGGCCGGGCCAUCAUGACAGGGUGAGCUGUAGAGGGUGGGGUGCAGGGGGUCACAGCACAGGGACGAAGCAGUUACUAAGCUAUUCCCUGCCCUGAGGAUAGCGCACCCUUGGGCACCAACCUCGGGCACAGCAAGCUGCGACGUUGCUGGAGGUUAGGAUGGGCAUAUGCAGAGUUCCCGCCCCUCUGAGCAGGUGGGCGGCUUCUAAUUAGGAUGAGGAAUCUAAACAGAAAACAAGCCCAAAGCAGAAAUCUCUCAGUUGAAGACGGAGCCGAGGGAGUGCCUGUCCUGGCUCAGUGGGAAAUGAAUCCGACUAGGAACCAUGCGGUUCGAUUCUUGGCCUCGCUCGGUGGGUUAAGAUCCAGUGUUGCCAUGAGUCAUGGUGUAGGUCACAGACAUGGCUCAGAUCCGGUGUUGCUGUGGCUGUGGUGUAGGCCGGUGGCUCUAGCUCUCAUUUGACUCCCAGCCUGGGAGCUUCCAUAUGCCCCAAGUGCAGCCCUG
This 4866-nucleotide long non-coding RNA is filed under the name Sus scrofa (pig). RNAcentral describes it as "lncRNA (ENSSSCG00025059287.1)". Lineage: Eukaryota; Metazoa; Chordata; Mammalia; Artiodactyla; Suidae. The record is from RNAcentral.